UGUAGUCAUAUGCUUGUCUCAAAGAUUAAGCCAUGCAUGUCUAAGUAUAAAUAACUUUAUAUUGUGAAACUGCGAAUGGCUCAUUAAAUCAGUUAUGAUCUACGUGACAAAUUCUUUACUACUUGGAUAACCGUGGUAAUUCUAGAGCUAAUACAUGCAAAAAAGCCCUGACUCACGAAGGGGUGCACUUAUUAGAUAAAACCAACGCGGGGUAAAACCUGUUUCGUGGUGAAUCAUAAUAAUUAAGCGGAUCGCAUGGCCUUGAGCCGGCGACGGUCCACUCGAUUUUCUGCCCUAUCAUGGUUGAGAUUGUAAGAUAGAGGCUUACAAUGCCUAUAACGGGUAACGGGGAAUUAGGGUUCGAUUCCGGAGAGGGAGCCUGAGAAACGGCUACCACAUCCAAGGAGGGCAGCAGGCGCGCAAAUUACCCAAUCCCGACACGGGGAGGUAGUGACAAUACAUAACAAUGCAGGGCCUUUACGGUCUUGCAAUUGGAAUGAGUACAAUUUAAAUCCCUUAACGAGGAUCAAUUGGAGGGCAAGUCUGGUGCCAGCAGCCGCGGUAAUUCCAGCUCCAAUAGCGUAUAUUAAAGUUGUUGCAGUUAAAACGUCCGUAGUCAAACUUUAGUCUUACCGGCGCGGUGGCCUGGUCUUCAUUGAUCAAGCUCGCUGUCGCUGGAGACUCCACGUCCGCUGGCUCCUAGUCCUCGUGGCUAGGGUUCUUGUGGACAAUUACCAUGAGCAAAUCAGAGUGUUUAAAGCAGGCUUUUAAGCUUGAAUGUGUUAGCAUGGAAUAAUGAAAUAUGACUUUAGUCCUAUUUUCGUUGGUUUAGGUACUAUAGUAAUGAUUAAUAGAAACGGUUGGGGGCAUUUGUAUUUGGCCGCUAGAGGUGAAAUUCUUGGAUUGGCCGAAGACAAACUACUGCGAAAGCAUUUGACCCAGGACGUUUUCAUUGAUCAAGGUCUAAAGUUAAGGGAUCGAAAACGAUUAGAUACCGUCGUAGUCUUAACCACAAACUAUGCCGACUAGGGAUCA
Molecule: ribosomal RNA, 1035 nt
Filed under: uncultured Rhizopus
Lineage: Eukaryota; Fungi; Mucoromycota; Mucoromycetes; Mucorales; Mucoraceae
Description: SSU rRNA
Rfam family: Eukaryotic small subunit ribosomal RNA
Source: RNAcentral